This 170-nucleotide ribosomal RNA is filed under the name Escherichia coli. RNAcentral's name for it is "partial 16S ribosomal RNA". It matches the Rfam family "Bacterial small subunit ribosomal RNA", at positions 1 to 164 of the family's 1533-position model. The record is from RNAcentral. Lineage: Bacteria; Pseudomonadati; Pseudomonadota; Gammaproteobacteria; Enterobacterales; Enterobacteriaceae.
AAAUUGAAGAGUUUGAUCAUGGCUCAGAUUGAACGCUGGCGGCAGGCCUAACACAUGCAAGUCGAACGGUAACAGAAAUCAGCUUGCUGAUUUGCUGACGAGUGGCGGACGGGUGAGUAAUGUCUGGGAAACUGCCUGAUGGAGGGGGAUAACUACUGGAAACGGUAGCU